This 237-nucleotide ribosomal RNA is filed under the name uncultured bacterium. RNAcentral describes it as "partial 16S ribosomal RNA". It matches the Rfam family "Bacterial small subunit ribosomal RNA", at positions 30 to 266 of the family's 1533-position model. The record is from RNAcentral.
AUUGAACGCUAGCGGGAUGCUUUACACAUGCAAGUCGAACGGCAGCACGGACUUCGGUCUGGUGGCGAGUGGCGAACGGGUGAGUAAUGUAUCGGAACGUGCCCAGUAGCGGGGGGAUAACUACUCGAAAGAGUGGCUAAUACCGCAUAUGCCCUAAGGGGGGAAAGCAGGGGAUCUUCGGACCUUGCACUAUUGGAGCGGCCGAUAUCGGAUUAGCUAGUUGGUGGGUAAAGGCCU